UACGUAGGGUGCAAGCGUUGUCCGGAAUUAUUGGGCGUAAAGAGCUCGUAGGCGGUUUGUUGCGUCGGCUGUGAAAUCCCGAGGCUCAACCUCGGGUCUGCAGUCGAUACGAGCAAUCUAGAGUGUUGCAGGGGAGACUGGAAUUCCUGGUGUAGCGGUGAAAUGCGCAGAUAUCAGGAGGAACACCGGUGGCGAAGGCGGGUCUCUGGGCAACAACUGACGCUGAGGAGCGAAAGCGUGGGGAGCGAACAGG
Molecule: ribosomal RNA, 253 nt
Filed under: uncultured bacterium
Lineage: Bacteria
Description: partial 16S ribosomal RNA
Rfam family: Bacterial small subunit ribosomal RNA
Source: RNAcentral